Molecule: long non-coding RNA, 764 nt
Filed under: Homo sapiens (human)
Lineage: Eukaryota; Metazoa; Chordata; Mammalia; Primates; Hominidae
Description: HSALNT0066464
Source: RNAcentral
CUUGUUUAAAACUAUACUGUGUAGUGUAGCAUGUAUAGGUACUCUGGUUUGCACCCACUAAAUAUCAGUAAAUGCCCUUUGUCAUUGUAACAAUCAUAAAUGCCAUCACAGAUUUUCAUGACUCUCCUUCCUGCCCCAUUUAUUGUCAGAUUCCUCACUUACCGAUUCCAGAAGCCAUGCUAGGUGGUCAACAGCAGACGCAGGACAACUUGGAAAGCUGGUUUUUCACGUACUGCACAUCCAAGCUAGGUAAUGUCUCUGCAACUGCUGCUUCCUGAUGAUUAUAUUCAUCUGAAAUGACUAAGCUUGGUAAAUUAGGCUAAGUCAAGUCUGUGGAGCAGUCAAGGGACGAAUGAAGAAAAGAAUAAUGUAAUGGAGGCUACACCAGAGACAUGGGAAUCUAUCAGCAUGUGGCAAGGAAGGAAGAACAUAGCUAUGUCUUCUAUAUAAAGAGUUGCCUGCAUUCUUCUCAGAAAAAAAAAGACAAUGGAAAGGCAAUGAGUCAUGAGUCUUGGGUUCUAAGCCUGGUUCUACCAUUUGCUAGCUGUAUGAUAAGAAGCAUGUUUGUUAAACCUCUGAGCCUCAGCUUAUAUAUAUACGAAACAGGAAAAAUAGUAACAUAGCCUGCCAUCUUCACAGAUUUGUGAAAAGGUCUUUUAAAUAUCCAAAAAGCUUAGUAUGUAUAAGAAAGAUUAAAUUGGCUGGGCGCGGUGGCUCACGCCUGUAAUCCCAGCACUUUGGGAGGCCGAGGCGGGCGGAUCACA